This 22-nucleotide non-coding RNA is filed under the name Bacillus methanolicus MGA3. The record is from RNAcentral. Lineage: Bacteria; Bacillati; Bacillota; Bacilli; Caryophanales; Bacillaceae.
AUAGUUUUGUUUUAGUUCCAUU